UUACAUUACACUAAAUCAUUGUGUAUCCCUCCGUUGUCCAUUCGAAAGUAGUGCCUAUUUCUAAAGAGUUCCUUUUCUCUUCUUGAAUAUAAGCCAUUUAACAAUGUGAGACAUGUCUUUUGUGGUUAUUUGUAAUAUCCUGUAUGUGUCUGGAGUACUUUGAUGCCUUGGAUUGGAAGCUAACUUAAAAGAUGAACUUUUGAGGGUGUGUUUUCUAUUGUGUGGGGCUUUUGUCGAAAUUAGGAUUCCGAAACACGUUUUUCUACGGUGGGUUCAUUCGACAGCGAUUUACUUUCUUAGAAGUUGCGAGACGGUAUGUUUUUGAUUGCAAUUAUUGGAAGAUGACAGAUCCAUCUUUAAAAUGAUACCAGGUUCGGAAAAAUUGAUCCGUCGAAAAGGCAAGGAAAAUGCUGUGAAAGUUGUCAGUUUUAUAAUGGGACCCUAUGGGAAUCGGAAUUAGUGUAAUAUAACCUUUAAAAAGCACAUUUACUGCAAUGUCAAGGUCACAUUGAUUCGUCUGCAAGCGAGACAAGUAGAAAAUGAAUUUUAAUGAAUGUUUUGAUGAUUUGGGUGCUAAAAUAGAUGAGAGAUGUCAAUAUUUUGGUCUAAAUGGAUGUUUUAGGUGGUUUUGGACUGUUCCGGAUGGGUGGGGGACCUGGUAUGGACAAGUAAGGGUAACAUUUCCAACAAAUCUUAAAUGUAAAUAUUAUUAUGUCCAUAGAUUGAAGUUUCAGGUGGAGAGCAAGAAAAAAAUAUGCCAAAUUACAUGCAUGCAACCCAUUUAUGCCAUUUUUCUCUUUGUUUGUAGGCCUGACCAUUUGUCCUUGAGCCGCAGAUGGUCAACAAUCCGCUAGCUGUCUUGCUCUGACUGGUGCACUGGACAUGAUUUCAAUAGUCAACCAGACCAUGAUUGAGCUUAAGGAUUGUGCUGCGGAUGCGGCCUGUGCAGUUCCGGGAGAAAGUCACUGUCUUGGGCAUUGCGGUCUGGUAUCAGGUCUGGAUGAUCCUUGCCUGACUGCGGGUUUGUGUACACCUCAAUCCGACUCGGUGUCCUGAACAGAGGCCUCAGUGGUGCAGCGCUUGUGGACGAUCCAUCAACAUCCUGAAAGGUCAACACUUCACCAAGCUGGGAAAAUUGAUCCCGAUACUCAUCCCCAGGUAGUGGAAUGAAUGUACACUGAACUACAGAGGAAUCUCACCCAAAUGACUUUCCUGCCACGACAUUAGUGUGGCCGCUCGCGUAGGAAUUCCUUAGCAAACAUGCUCUUUUGCAUAGUGACUGUGGGCAUUUUUGCAAAACUUAAGCUUUCAACACUGGAUUUUAAAGAGAAUACUUAAUAAAAUGUCGCUAGCAGGACUUAUUUUUAUGAAAGAGACUAUCUGGAUGCGCAACAAGUGUCACUUUGUGUCGUAAGCUGUUGAAGGAGCGAUUUGCGCCUUUUUAAGUGUUAAUUUUGGGUAGCAGGCUUGUAUCGGCUUGAAAGCUGCAAAUUAUGCCUCUGAUCAUAAUAGCAUUAUUUUUUGUAAUUGCAAUGUGUAUGUUUUGAUUGUAAGUGAAGCUUUUAAUAAAUUUUUUCUUGAAAAACAUGAUUUUAUAUGCUGUCAGUGAGUUUUUUAUUGAAAAAAGUGCUUAAAAUUAAAAAAAAGUCUCCUUUUUCAUCAAGAAAAGUACACUGAUUCACAAUCAAUACAUUUAUUUGGGCCUUUUGCUGAUAUAUUGGUGAAUUUCGCAUGCAAUGAUACCAGUUUUUGCCAUAAAAGUUACGCGUAACAAUAAUUGGAGACACAAAAUCAGCUGUCGUCACUUAGACUAAAAAUCAUGUAUUCCGACUCGACUGCGGCCAAUUUAGUCACCGCUUUGAAUGGCCAUUUUAAGGCCUUUACCCCCAUCAGUAUGCA
Molecule: long non-coding RNA, 1899 nt
Organism: Dreissena polymorpha
Lineage: Eukaryota; Metazoa; Mollusca; Bivalvia; Myida; Dreissenidae
Exons: 3
Source: RefSeq, a predicted model, not a curated record